UGGCACUGGGUUUUAGCUUCCAAAAGGUGCUGUGGGAAUUGAAGCAGCUUUCCAGAGCAAACUACACAAGGACGUGAGCCAGAGAGAUGUUGCAGAAAGAAAACACGCUUCAACAGAAGAGAUUAAGGUGCAAGUCAGAGUGGCAUUGAAGGCUUCAGAAGAGCAACACAUUGCCUGCAUUUAAACAUGAGCCAUAGCCUAAUUUCUAAAGCUGCUCUAUAAACUCCGCUUGAGAGGCAGCACGAGCCAAAGAAGGAAGAAAACACGUCUGGGAAUGGCAGUGAAUGAAGCUAACAGGAACACCUGGCUACUCCAGAACUUCAGCCAACAUGCUGGCACCCCUGCAUGAGACAAAGUAUAAGGGCUGCUCUGAAACUAAUGCCUCCUAUUUUAUUAUGUCAGCCAGUGAAGACAGAGGUCUACAGGAGAGAAUUCAAGAUGCUGCAAGUUCUCAAAGUUCUUCCUCAGCUCACAGAAAUGAAAAAAAGCAGCCGUAGUGAUUUCUUUUGGCAGUAUCUUCUGCCACGAACAGCCAUUUUCAUGCCCUCCAUAAUGAGGAGGAGUUCAGAAAGGCUCUGAAUUGUCUGGGAAACGAAAAAAAAUUCCACAACUGGGAGAAUGAAAUGCAAACUGAAGGCAUUUCAGACACAAUGUGCUUGAUGAGUGGUUGUAUAGAUGGAGAAAGCAUUGUUUCAUCAAGAGUUUUCAACUCAAAUCAUUGCCACCAUAUGAAAAAAUACCUUCCUCUAUAUUUUUUAACCCUUCUUUUACUAGUAGGGAAAAGAAAAAUUUAACAGAUGGGCCAGAUUUUUUUAAUCGAACUGGUCUUUUCCUUACUUUGAGGCAUUCGUUCCCAUUUUACUUCAAUACAUUUGUGUCGAAUACAUUUAUUUAUCCUGGUUUAUACUUCCCAGAAAACAAGUCGGGGUUUCUUCUGUGGUCAGACCAAUGCUAUGAUUCAUGGAAUUGUGAUCGUCAGUCUGCACAGGAAGUGGAGGUCAGCUGGAGAGCAACGCUCAUACAGAACUGAAGCUGAACCUUCCAACCUACCAAAUCCGUGAGGUGCUGGAGCAGAAAGGGAACAUAGGUUAAUUCUGGGCUGACCUAGAACAAAGUACUCCAACUCUGCACAACAUACUAGUCCAAGAUUUCAACCAUCACCAUAAACCAAUCUGAAUUAAUGCUUUCCUUCACUUUCCAGUCCAUCAAAUAGAAUCUAAGGCUUUUGGGCCUCUCUGGACAUUUUUAGGUUCAAAAUAAACUGAGUUCUCCAAUAUACAGAAUCCACUUCUUCAUGGGCUCCACUAAGGGCAGCUCACCUCUCCCUGCUUGGGAGCAGGAUGACAGACUCAGCAUGCAGCUGGGGCUGCUUUCCAGAGCAGCUGAACACAGUGGUGUCCACAAUUCAGGCAAAUAAUGAGCCCUUCUUGGUAUGGAUCCUUCAGGAAAGCAUGCCUCCAAUCCCUACAGAGACAUCACACGAGGAAUUCUAGAAAUAUGGCCUUUAAAAGAAGGAAUAGAUCAAAUUUUAAGCAAUUAUGAAUAAAAGCACAUCCAAGAGGUACAGAAAGCUGUAACUGUAAACCAGUUACAUCAGCAAAGCAGCAUUCCCACUGCUGAGAGAAGGGGAGAUUUCUACUGAGGCUAAAACAAGUUCUUUGAGACAGCAGCUGAGAAAGAGACAGUUCUGCCAGGAGUCACAGUUCUUCCAUCCUCAGCACUGGUGAUGAACCGCUCCAGUAACUGGGUGGCAUGCCCCUAAUUCCUCUGGGAAAAGACUCUGGGAAAGGAUGUACAAUAAUUGUGGAGGGGAAGCAGACCAAAGUACAGAGCACUAAUUAAGUUGACUAUCUCAAUAUGACUACCCAGAAAAAAAAUGGAAUUUCUGUGUCUCAAGUUUCAUAUCAGUUGAAUUUCGAGGAUCAAUAGGAUUGGUCUUAUGGGGAUGUUCCUUCCCUUCAUUUGCUUUAUUUCCAACAUGAAGUAAGCUUAGAAGAUUCCUGCCUGGAACCACAAUAAAAAGUUUAUAAUAUUCAGUGACCUGGUUAGGGAAAUAAAGUAAUUUAUUGCUGGGGUAAUCAAAGAAGCAUGAUAGAAGAUUUCCUUAUCAACCGAGAAACUGAGACAGGUGGAUAAUGAUAUGUCCCAACUGUUGCUACCUACUGCACAUCUUCAAGGUUCUCUCUAGGUAGCAGAUGGCCAGUCAGAAUAUCUAAAUUUCAGUCCUGUGAUAAAUUACCUUUUCAGUAGAGAAAGCAUCUCUGUCUCUCCCCAUGAACAAUAAUAAAGAGUUUAUUUCAUUAUGUAAGAGCAUAAUUAGUGCCAGACAUUUAGUACUAUUAGAAUCAUAGAAUCGCUAAGGUUGGAAAAGACCCACAGGAUCAUCCAGUCCAACCAUCCGCCCUUCAUCAAUGGUUCUCGCUAAACCAUGUCCCUCAACACAACAUCCAAACGCUCUUUAAACACUACCAGGCUCAGUGACUCCACUACCUCUCUGGGCAGCCCAUUCCAGUGCCUGACCACCCUUUCAGAGAAGUAGUAUUUCCUAACGUCCAGCCUGAACCUUCCCUUACACAGCUUGAAGCCAUUCCCUCUCGUUCUAUCACUAGUCACCUGGGAGAAGAGGCUGACCCCCAGCUCACCACAACCUCCCUUCAGGUAGUUAUAGAGAGCAAUAAGGUCUCCCCUGAGCCUCCUCUUCUCUAUACUGAACAACCCCAGCUCCUUCAGCCGCUCUUCAUAAGGCCUAAUUAUUACUACCAUUAUUACUACCAAGUUGUCUUUUCUCUUUGUAGUGUGAGAGUUGUAGAGCAGACUCUUUCCUGAUCUUUUCAAACCAUUUCUGCCUGCAUCCAAACAAAAGGAAACAUGUCAUAGCUAGUUUAUGAUGAGAAACCAGUACUUUGGCUCCAGAUGCACACACAGAGAACAACUGGUUUAAAAUGAAAGACAAGCUAAAUAUCAAUAAACCUCAUAGUCUUCUUCAGAGCAGCCUACUCACAGAAAACAGCUUAUGGGCAAGCACAAUGAAUCACGUUGAUACUGGGAAUACACACGUUCCCUAGAAAGCUUCUGCUAAAAGCUUAUCACAUUGCACCAGAUGGUUGGCUAGCUGACAAAAGAUAGCUCAUCUCAAAAAAAAAAAAACCAAAAAAUCUAUCAAAACACAACAACAACAACAACAUAAAAACCCCAAUCCCUAACAAUAUAUAAUAAGAGGAGUCAAGGAUGUAAUAGCCUUUAGUGAGCCAGUGUGCGCAUCUAAUGCACGAGUCAAGCUUGUUGAAGUACAAAAGCCCUUCAUGUCUGAAAGAAAAAGCACCUACCAGACCAAGUGCUCCUGGGAACAGCCCAAGUUAUGAGUCUAAUGGCCAUACAUACAAGGUCUUACUGCUUGCAUGAUGCUCCCCAGUGAAUACGCUCAGCUAAGAACAAACGGAACUCAGGCCAGGUGGUUUCCUUGCCACCACACACAGUGGUGCUACCUACCUCUGCCUAAGCAGCUACAUGCAAAGAGGAACAGUGUCUAUAAUUGCUAGGAUAGUAGAAAAGUCAGGCAGUGGUUCUUAAGUCUAAAGCAAAAAUAAAAGCCAAAUAGAAGUAUACACCACAAAACUUUGCUCCUCGGUUAUCCCUUCCUCCUAAGCAGAAGUCCUAUCCUGAAAAAUACUGUGAAAGAAAACUGCUGAAAUAUUUCUACUGUUGAAGUUUUCUCUGCUAGAAAAACAGUUUAUCUUUUCUCGUCGUUGUAGCCUACCUAAGAUGUUUAAACAUAGGAGGAAAAAAGAAAGAAAGAGAGAAAGAAAAGAAUAAGAAGGGUCUUUAAACUCUAGGAAUGUUUUUUUCCUGUAGUGAACUCGGAGUGACAGAGGUUUAUAACAAAAGUUGACUGUGUAAUAUUUUCCAUUGCUUACGGUUCCCUUCUGAACUUCCAUUUUGUGGGAAUACACUUGGAUCAUUGCUGACCUGUCUCUGGAAAAGGCUCACUGUGUAUUUUGGCUUGGCUUCCUUCCAUUUCUACUCCUCUAAGUCUGUUCCCCAUUUCAACAUCUCUCAUUGCCACAUUCCCAAACAUGUUACACAACCCCUAAGAAGCAAUUUAUAGGAAUAUUAGUAAUUCAGCUGUAACCAAACAAGCACUUUUCCCUUCUAACAGAUCAUUCUCUCCUGGGAAUCAUAGCUAUGUGGCUGUUUGCUCACUUGUUUACAGCAUUUCUCUGGAUGUGAUCAUUAGACAGGCAAACAACUUAAAGCAGAAUAAAUCCAUGAAAGCCAGUGCUUGCAGCAGCUUUUAAAGCAAAACCUGGCUGGAAAUAUUUUGUGAAGGCCUUUCCAAAAGUGCCUGGAAGAGUCUUGUAUGUGAAUGUGUAACCUCCCUAUAGCCAACCAUGUUGUGCCAAAUGCGCAUACACAGAUCCUGCUUUGAUGUUCACAGCCUGAGGCAGCACUGUCCCAAAUGAGAAUCUGUGAGCACCUUGGGGAUGUAACCCACCACAGUGCACCAGGUUUUUCUGUAAUAGCAAUAGAUACAAAGAUAUAAAUGAGACUGCACAACUUACCCAAGAUUGGAGUUACUUACAUACUGUGUGUCACUCAAAGUCAGUCUCACCAAACAUAAGAUUAACAGCUGGUGUCUGAUCUUGCAAACCUUAUCUCCUUGAACUCUGGCUCCCAUGAAAUAUUCCUAGAAGCUAUUAGUUUGACAGGUCAAAGGCCCCAGCUUUCCAUAUGUUGCCAGAAAAUAACAUCAAGUUCAACAUCAAGUUCCCCAGUACAGGAAGGACAUGGAGCUCUUAGAGCAGGUCCAGAGGAGGGCCACUGAGAUGAUCAGAGGGCUGGAGCACCUCUCCUAUGAGGAAAGGUUGAGGGAACUGGGCUUAUUUAGUUUGGAGAAGAGAAGGCUCUGGGGAGACCUCAUUGUGGCCUUCCAGUACUUGAAGGGAGUGUAUAAACAGGAAGGGGAGCAGCUCGUUUACAAGGGUGGAUAGUGAUAGGACAAGGGAGAAUGGUUUUAAACUGGGACAGGGGAGGUUUAGGUUGGAUAUUAGGAAGAAGUUUUCCACACAGAGGGUGGUGACGCACUGGAACAGGUUGCCCAAGGAGGUUGUGGAUGCCCCAUCCCUGGAGGCAUUCAAGGCCAGGCUGGAUGUGGCUCUGGGCAGCCUGGUCUGGUAGUUGGUGACCCUGCACAUAGCAGGGGGGUUGAAACUAGAUGAUCUUUGGGGUCCUUUUCAACCCAGGCCGUUCUACAAUUCUGUGAUAAACUUGUUGAGAAAAAGAGGACCCCUGUUUUGAGAGCUUAAAACCCAAGACAGAGUCACAUCUGCUUCAUCAAUCAGAACAAUAGCUUCUGAUUCAUGGAGUAGAUUGGGCUGACCUUCUUAUGUCCUUUUUACCCUGUUUCAAACAUUGCCAGAUAUGCAGAUGAGCGUGCCAGGUACAGUAUCUACCUGCCACAGUUUAUGGCCUGACACAUUCACUUGAAUGAAAAUGACUGACUUCAAAUUUAUGUACUCAUUACAAGCUGCAGCUCAUGGUCGCAUUUAUUUCUGCUUGGCUGUACAUCCAGCAGUGGUAAAGGUCUUUGGAAAAAAGGUUUGUGGCACAAACUAGUAGCAGUAAUUGCUCAGGCCAUCUCCAUGAGUUCUAUUUUUAAGGCAACCCAAAGGCAGCCCUGCAGCUAUACUGUGCUCUAUCAUGGCCACAUUCACUCUCCUCUGUGCAGUUGGUAUAACUUAACACAGGUUAACAAAUUAGGCAUAGCGUCACACAGUUGAGUGGAAAAUUGUGAAAAAGCCACUCAGCCUCUCACAGUGGAGAAAAAAAAAAAUCAUCUAGAGACUCCUGGAUCUGGGCCAGAGAACACAAGCAAAGCAGAGAGCUGCUGAUGCAUGAUGGCUUCCUGACACCCACCUGAAGGUAAAUUAGGUUUCCCAAAAGCAACUCACACAACCUUGCCUGAGAGCACACAAGGAGAUGGCCUCACAGACAUGAAAAGACAGUUCUGCAUGUAAGACUAGACAAGCAGUCCAAUGCUCUCUACCCUAGCUUUGGUGAUAAGCAGAUUUUAAGUUUAUCUGCCCCAAAGCCCUGCAACCUGCCAAAUAAUCACAUCUUACAUCAUCAGAGAGAGGUCUUCAUCAGAGUUAGUCAGAUGUAGGUGAAAAUAAGUAUCUCAGUCACUGGUGCCAUACAGUUACCAGUAAUAUCCUUAGCAAGUGAACACAGAGUAACACACAUACCUGCAC
This is a long non-coding RNA of Gallus gallus (chicken), 6248 nucleotides long. NCBI's taxonomy places the organism in Eukaryota, Metazoa, Chordata, Aves, Galliformes, Phasianidae. The record is from Ensembl.